Drosophila innubila is the source of this 1460-nucleotide long non-coding RNA. RefSeq lists it as uncharacterized. The record is from RefSeq and is a predicted model, not a curated record. Lineage: Eukaryota; Metazoa; Arthropoda; Insecta; Diptera; Drosophilidae. The transcript has 3 exons.
UCCCAAGCCGAACGCCAACAACAGCUGCCGUCUCUCCAAGCACGCUCCAAACACACACACACACACACACACACACACAGACACAGACGCAAUCAGCGAUCAACGAUCUACGAUAACGAGCAGCUGUUUUGGGCCCGUUGUCAGUUUGUCAGUGUCAGUUAUCUGGCCGCAUCUCGGGCAACAAAAAAAUACGCAAAUUUCCAUCAACAAUCUGCAGCCGACGCGGACGUCGACGUCGCCAGCGCAGCAGCAGCAUCAGCAGCAGCAGAUCCCACAACUCUUCCUCUGCGAGCAGCGCCCCCGCAAGGCGACAAGUGCAAAAAGUGAAGUGAACUCCAAAUAUACGAAAGCAUCGUUCAUCGUUCGUCGCUCUCUCUCUCUCUCUCGCUCCCUCUGUCUGUCGUGUCGUGUCGCGCUCGUGUCGCUCUGCUUCGCGUUCGGCUCUCGCGCCGCUUCAAGUCGCUUUGUAAAUUACUUGCAAAGUUAAUUUGAGUCUCGGCUUUUAAUACCGUUUUAGUGCGUUUUCGAGUUGGUCGUGUUUUUUGUUACCAAAAAUCAAAAACUACACAAAUUUUUUAUAAAAUUAUAAAUUUCAUCUACAUCCAGUUAACAGUUAACAAUUACAAAAUUUAAUUUAAUAAAUACAGCACAGCUGUGAAAACACCACUUAAAGGAAAUUCAAUAACAAACAAAAAACAGACUUUCAAAUUCAAUUUAAUAAAAUAAGAAAUUUAAAAACACUUUUUUUUUUUUUGGUCGGUUUUUAACAACAAACAGUAAAUGACAAUUGAUUGCUAAAGUUUCGCGUCCUUUGGCAAGUAAAAUAUUAAUUUUUUUAUUCUCCAUAUUGGAAAUAAAACGGAAAUGUAAGCUACUCGCCCCCGCCAAUCCGAGCCUCGCUUCCUGUAAAUUAAGAACAGUUUGUUUUUUUUGUUUUUGUUCGCCGAGAGAGAAACUUUUAAAAAAGCAACAAUAUUACAAAAAAAAGAAAAGAAAUUCAACUGCAAGUACAAAUAACAGUCAAAUAAAAAGGAACAAAUACAUAAAUUUAUUUAAAAAUAUCAUAAAUAAUUUACAACAAUAAACAACAGCAGCAACAACAACAACAAAAACCAAUCAAGACGGAAGUGUUUUUUACAAAGCGGCGCAUCCUGUUUGAGCUUUUCUCACAUACAAACAUACACACACACACACUAAUACACACGCACACGCUGAGACUCGAAACUGGCUGUCUCUCUCGCACCUGCACGUAUAAGAGUUGUGAUCACGCAAAACAUAUACCACGUCUAAUUGAUUAAAGAGGAUUCCUCCUAUAAUUACUAAACCACAAAAUACAAAAACGAGGAACAGAAAAGCAAAGACAAAACAACGUUGAGAAAAAGGCCAGCAAAAUGACUGGUUUUACCAAUGCCGGCUUUGAGAACGAUGAGCCCGUAAAGCCAAAAGCUAGGUUUUGUGCA